GCAUGCCUGAUUAUUCUUUAAUUAUUUUUGGCCAUGAAAAUGACCAAAAGCAUCUUUAAGAAAAUAAAUGAUAAUGGGUACUGUUAUUUUGCAUAAAAUAUCCGAAGGAAACCUAGCUAAUACUGAGAAAGAUCGUUUUCUACUUUAUGGAGGUACGAUAAAUACGGGUAGAAUCUGAUUCAGAUUAUCCAUAUACUUUUGUGAUAUUCUGUCAACUUUAAUAUCUAUCCUAGCACUCACUUUAAUCCUAAAUUCUUAACCCCCAACAAAAUGAUAAUAAUAUAUUAGACCACCAUCAAAAUUUAAUGUCACCUGAUGAGCAUAUAUACAUAUAUAUAAGGACUAGUAUAAUACCUGGCCCUACGAUUUUGAAACCA
Molecule: unclassified non-coding RNA, 377 nt
Filed under: Hevea brasiliensis (rubber tree)
Lineage: Eukaryota; Viridiplantae; Streptophyta; Magnoliopsida; Malpighiales; Euphorbiaceae
Source: RNAcentral